Long non-coding RNA from Harpia harpyja (harpy eagle), 954 nucleotides. RefSeq lists it as uncharacterized. The record is from RefSeq and is a predicted model, not a curated record. The transcript is spliced from 6 exons. Lineage: Eukaryota; Metazoa; Chordata; Aves; Accipitriformes; Accipitridae.
CCCUGUCUCACACCAACGCCUCUGUCUAAACGGCUCGUGUCCUGCGAACCAGUCGUUGACCCGAAGCUCAUCACUGGCCCUGGUAUAUGUUCUUUCUUCCUCUGCAUAGCUUUGGGUCUCGGCCUCUUUCACGCCUUCUCCAGGAACAGGUACAGUUUCCACAUCAACAAAAUCAAAGCUGCUCAGGAGGAACCACAACUCCAUAAACUGCUGGUGUUCAAUCUCCAUGAACAGUUUUGUCAGUGGACUUGAAUGAGACUGCAAAGUCAGAGAAAGCAGCAGAGCUGGGAACAGCAAGCAGAUGCCCUGAGUCAGCCCAAGGAACUCCAGACAGACACACCAAUAUAACCAUCAGCACACUGAAACAGUUCAGUCUUUGAGAGGUCCUACAGAUUCCUCUGACAUUCCUGCCACCGGAGAUGUUCAGCCCUGUUGGGAGACCCCUCCAUCCUCUUCCUGGUCAGGAAAGGGACACAACUGGGCCCUGGAAGACCAACUGGGUGGAGAGUGAAGGCAGGACUGGCUCUGAGAGUGGACUCCUGGUGAUACGGUUGAGAGUAAAUGUGGAUGAACAUCACUUCCCCUCUGCUGAUGGAGCAAUGAGGUUUCCUUGCCUCUCUCUGCCUGCUCUUCAACACCAAAUGGACUUGCCAGUGAAAGAAGAACUUGUAUCUGCCUGACUGCUUUCAGUUCAAGUCAUCUUUGCCAGCCAAAGCAGACUCUUCUUGCCUGCUUCCAAGAGGCAUGAGCUUAAACAACUGGUCUCAGAGUGGGGUGUCUCUACAGUCUUAGCCAUGAAGAGAGGAGAUGAAAUGUUCUCCUGUUCAGUGUAUAUGGAAGAGACUGGAGCAAGCUCCUAUCUUCGUAACAGUAAAACUACAGUGAAAUCUGAAUUCUUUGUUCAUGUUUCAUUGCCUGCUUUGAGGAAAACAGUGAUCAUGGGAUCAGACAUCA